Long non-coding RNA from Callithrix jacchus (white-tufted-ear marmoset), 1644 nucleotides. RefSeq lists it as uncharacterized. Lineage: Eukaryota; Metazoa; Chordata; Mammalia; Primates; Cebidae. The record is from RefSeq and is a predicted model, not a curated record.
UCUUCCUUUUAGGAAAUACAGAGAUUAUGGCGUUCAUCUGUUUCAUCCAGGACUUGAAAAGCAAAACUCUGAACCUCAGACUCUUCCAGCAUGUUUGAUUCAGUCAAACAAGGGAAGAUGCUUCGGGUGCUUUGAAUGCUAUGGAAGUGCUAUGAUGCCAUCGUCUGUCCAGGAAAAGAAAGGAACACCCAUCCAUGUGGUAAAGCUAUCAGAAACUGGAGCACUGGGAAUAAAGGAAUUAUUUCCACGAGACAAGCACGCCCGCCAUUGGCUCAUAAUGAGCUGGAAGACCAAUGACUGCUUCUCAGAGACUCCCAAGGGCCCAAUGUCCUGGCAGCAGAUCUGCAGCUGAGUCAGUAUGGUGCACAGCAGAAAGGUGGGGGAGGGUGGCCAGUGCCUCCCUGCCAGGCUCUGUCUGUGUCAUCUGGAGCAGCACGGACCCUUCAGUCUCCAUUCUCUCUUCAGGAAAGAGGCCUCCUCAUAGAUGGACACACCAAGGCUCAGAGUUGUCGGUGUGAUGAUUCCCUACAUACUUCAGGAUGCAUCCUCUGUCGUCAGACUGGGCUGCAAGAUAGAACAUAACAUGCAUAUGGCUGACAUCAAAAGGAGCCCUUUCAAGCUGGCAUCUGUCUCCUGAGUCCUUUGAACAUGUCCCCAGCAUUUUCUGAGAACUUCCUUCCUUUCUGGCAUUACAAGAUGCUCCGGGUCAAUCUUGUUCUUUCCUGCCCCAGUCCUGGAAUCAGCCAUUUCUCCAAGCAGCCCUGGUUUCUUUUAUGGGAAAUGGCAUUUAGAGACCAAGAUCGCUGUGCACAAGAGAGUUGCAAACAAAGAUGUGGGUGAUAGGAUUGGGAGAAGCCACUGCAGAGACAUUGGAUGCCAGCUGCACUGCAGGUUCUUGAGGCUGAGAGUUAACUGUCAGCAGAGUUUCUUUUGAAUGUCCCCAAGUGUUUAGAACCACACUAAACCCUUAAUGGGUCCUCUUUAAAUGCCUGGUCGAUUGAUUCGUUUAUUCAUUGACUGUAUUUAUUGCUUGAUAAUAGAGCCAAAGUUAGUUUAUUAGAUGUAUUUCCAUGGACUAUUGCAAUAGGUGCAAUAAAGUGCAUGAGCAGCUUGGAGGUCAUCCAGGCCACACCUCCAUUUGGCUAAUGAGGCCUCUUGGACCUCAUCAGGGAAAAUGUCAUCUCCAGGUCACACACUUGGCUAACAACAGAGCCAGGUCUGGACGCCAGCCCGCCUGGCUCGCUCCGGCACCGCUCAUCAGUACAGCCUAUAACGAGAUGCCAAAAAGAAUCCUCUCCUUUUAACAGCAGAAAAGGUUUUCUAAAGCCUCAUGGUGACUUGUCUACUGUGGCUUAGCACGGGAGCCAUGCAUUUCUGACCUAGCCCACCACAGCCAGUGUUCCUAGCCCGAGGCUCAUGGGCCAUAACUAAAAGUCAAACUGGAGGUUGCCACUAGGCAGGCCUUCACUUAGAAGAGUCAGCCUCAACCGUGGGCUCUCUGGAGUUCUGAGCCCAAUCAAUCCACCAGGCUUUCUUCACUGCUGACCAUCUGCAGGCCACUAAGUUCUAGAGGCUGCAGUGAUUCUGGGAGUGGCAAGGUCCCCAUUUCUGCCCUGAGGUUCUCUGUGUCUAUUUCACUGUGAG